AAAAAAUGAAGCCUGCGACGGCUCAUAUACUAUUUCUGAAUUGUAUUUCUUUUCAAAGCUGUCAUCAGCAUUUUUCAGAGACAAAAUAUCUGAAAUACUGCGUCACGAUCGUUGUAUCAAUUCUCUUAACGUAAUGGAUCACUAUAUUUACCGGCAGAGACUUGCAUGUGAUAAAAGUGAAGAUGUGCGAUUGUCGAAACAGGAGACAAAGACAAUAGUAAUGAUGCAAUGAUUGGAGAUGAUAUACGAUAUCAGACAGGGAGUUUGAAUUAGAGGAGAUACUCUCAGAUCUAAACGAAGAAAAUUUUUUUUAAACUUGGCAGUUAAUGAUCCUUUGAGAAUUAAGAUUCUCACAAUUGCUCCAUCGAAUUGGAGUAUCAAUAAAAUUGCUCGUGAAUUCGGCGCCUCAAAACUUUAGUCAAAACAACUCAAAGAUGCGGAGUAUCUUAGAUGAUACAACUGCCAAAAAAGCUGAUAAAAUUGUACCCGAUUCAACUGUCGAAAAAGUCAAGGAAUUCUAUAAACAAUUUAUACAGUAGGAUUAUGCUUGAACAAAAAGAUGUAUCUAUUAAGAUUGAUUGGGAAUCGAACUACUAUGCAGAAACGUCCCCUGCUCUAUGAUUUGAGAGAACUCUAUGAUUUAUUUAAAAAAUCAGAAAAAACUAUUCAGUUGGGGUUCAGUACGUUCGCUAAAUUACGUCCCAAAUAUUGUAUUCUUGCUGAGGCUCGUGGAAUACACAGCAUCUGUGUUUGCAUAAUACAUCAGAAUUGUAAAUUGAAGCAAUAGAUAUUCAGAAACUUAGUUGGGAUCCAGAGAAAUAAAUUAACAAUUGUAAAGAUUGUUUACAACAAAUGAUGUGCAAAAAUCCCACUCUACAGUGCCAUUUAGAUGAAUGUUCCAAGUGUCCUGAUCUUUCUUCUCGUUUAUUUAAUUCAUUGAAUGAAACGAAUAUUUUUCAGGUGGAAUACAGUGCAUGGACGAAAUUCUUGAAAAAGGGAUUAAGGUCAAAUCUACAUUUACCUGGUGGUUACUCUACCCAAACAUGAUAACUUCAGAUUGGAUUAUUUUCCAUCAUAAUGCAUUGCUGAAAAAGUCGAUAGCGGAUCGAUAUCCACAUCUCCAUGCACGAUGAUAAGACGAGGACGAUCGGUGAAACCACCCGAAUGGGGACCGAUUAAUAUUCAGGCCUGGGUCGAGACUCGAAACCAGUCGAGUGAGUCCCCAAUCAGACGAGUAAACUUACGAAAAAUCUGGAUUUUCAGAGAUUCGCGAACCGCUGCGACACGCGAGGUUGCGAUCUUGACUUUAUAAUAUGAGCUUCCGAUAUAUACGUGUAUUAUUCAUACGAGGAGAUCGACAGUAGAAUAAAGUAAUAUUGUACUCGACGUCGAGGAGGUCUAGGCGCUAACAGCUUAAUUAUGUUGCGAUUAAUUACAGGAUAGAUCUAUGCAAAACCUGAUUUUAUCAAUACGUAAAACGAUGUAUCAUUUCACUCAUGCAUUUAUUGACACACUAAUUUUUCGUUAAUUUUGCUUAGAGAAAAACAUUUUAUGAUUUUAAGUUUCCUUCGGAACUAAAAUCUGUAAUAGUUAGGACCGUUUUAAUAUAUAUGCCAGUAUUCAUAGUCAAUUCUUAUAUUUAAAAUUGUCUUAAGUACAGUCUUAAGAUAUUAUGAAAACUAAUCAGAGAGCCUCAUUUUAAAACAUUAUAAAUAAAAACGAAUUAUGA
Molecule: long non-coding RNA, 1729 nt
Filed under: Acromyrmex echinatior (Panamanian leafcutter ant)
Lineage: Eukaryota; Metazoa; Arthropoda; Insecta; Hymenoptera; Formicidae
Description: uncharacterized LOC105152258
Source: RNAcentral